RNAcentral lists this transfer RNA (77 nucleotides) under Gammaproteobacteria bacterium. RNAcentral describes it as "tRNA-Arg". It matches the Rfam family "tRNA". From Rfam's summary of the family: Transfer RNA (tRNA) molecules are approximately 80 nucleotides in length. Their secondary structure includes four short double-helical elements and three loops (D, anti-codon, and T loops). Further hydrogen bonds mediate the characteristic L-shaped molecular structure. tRNAs have two regions of fundamental functional importance: the anti-codon, which is responsible for specific mRNA codon recognition, and the 3' end, to which the tRNAs corresponding amino acid is attached (by aminoacyl-tRNA synthetases). tRNAs cope with the degeneracy of the genetic code in two manners: having more than one tRNA (with a specific anti-codon) for a particular amino acid; and 'wobble' base-pairing, i.e. permitting non-standard base-pairing at the 3rd anti-codon position. RNAcentral also lists the same sequence under 1 other name. Lineage: Bacteria; Pseudomonadati; Pseudomonadota; Gammaproteobacteria. The record is from RNAcentral.
GCCCCCGUAGCUCAGCUGGAUAGAGCGCACCCCUCCUAAGGGUGAAGUCGGACGUUCGAAUCGUCUCGGGGGCGCCA